Molecule: unclassified non-coding RNA, 240 nt
Filed under: soil metagenome
Description: partial contains 5.8S ribosomal RNA, internal transcribed spacer 2, and large subunit ribosomal RNA
Source: RNAcentral
AACAUCGCGCACCUGCGGGAACCUGCGGAGGGAUCAUUACAGAGUUGCAAAACUCCCUAAACCAUUGUGAACGUUACCUAAACCGUUGCUUCGGCGGGCGGCCCGGGUCCUUCCCGGCGCCCCUCGGCCCUCGCGGGCGCCCGCCGGAGGUAAACCAAACUAUUGCAUUGUAUGGCCUCUCUGAGUCUUCUGUACUGAAUAAGUCAAAACUUUCAACAAUGGAUCUCAGAUCGGAAGAGC